AGAGUUUGAUCCUGGCUCAGGACGAACGCUGGCGGCGUGCCUAAUACAUGCAAGUCGAACGCUUCUUUUUCCACCGGAGCUUGCUCCACCGGAAAAAGAAGAGUGGCGAACGGGUGAGUAACACGUGGGUAACCUGCCCAUCAGAAGGGGAUAACACUUGGAAACAGGUGCUAAUACCGUAUAACAAUCAAAACCGCAUGGUUUUGAUUUGAAAGGCGCUUUCGGGUGUCGCUGAUGGAUGGACCCGCGGUGCAUUAGCUAGUUGGUGAGGUAACGGCUCACCAAGGCCACGAUGCAUAGCCGACCUGAGAGGGCGAUCGGCCACAUUGGGACUGAGACACGGCCCAAACUUCUACGGGAGGCAGCAGUAGGGAAUCUUCGGCAAUGGACGAAAGUCUGACCGAGCAACGCCGCGUGAGUGAAGAAGGUUUUCGGAUCGUAAAACUCUGUUGUUAGAGAAGAAUAAGGAUGAGAGUAACUGUUCAUCUCUUGACGGUAUCUAACCAGAAAGCCACGGCUAACUACGUGCCAGCAGCCGCGGUAAUACGUAGGUGGCAAGCGUUGUCCGGAUUUAUUGGGCGUAAAGCGAGCGCACGCGGUUUCUUAAGUCUGAUGUGAAAGCCCCCGGCUCAACCGGGGAGGGUCAUUGGAAACUGGGAGACUUGAGUGCAGAAGAGGAGAGUGGAAUUCCAUGUGUAGCGGUGAAAUGCGUAGAUAUAUGGAGGAACACCAGUGGCGAAGCGCUCUCUGGUCUGUAACUGACGCUGAGCUCGAAAGC
This 778-nucleotide ribosomal RNA is filed under the name uncultured bacterium. RNAcentral describes it as "bacterial SSU rRNA". It matches the Rfam family "Bacterial small subunit ribosomal RNA", at positions 8 to 760 of the family's 1533-position model. The record is from RNAcentral.